Molecule: long non-coding RNA, 1406 nt
Organism: Esox lucius (northern pike)
Lineage: Eukaryota; Metazoa; Chordata; Actinopteri; Esociformes; Esocidae
Source: Ensembl
AUUUCACAUGGGGAAAGUCCACUACUCUCCGACAGUCAUUUUGUAUACCCACUUAGCACUGUGUUUGUGUUCCGGUUUGGUAUUAAAACCCAAUAUGUUUCUGCAUUGUCUCAGAACCCAUUAGCUAGCUAUUUUGGUGUCCCUGGAAUUAGAACAGAACAUUCUCUACUUGUCCUCUACUUGAUUAGACACUUUAUUCUGGUCACGUUGCUGUCUGUCACGUCUUUCACCCCCCCCCCCGUGAUACAUUUUAGUCACAUCACUAGCAUGUCUUUCAUCCUCCCUCUCUGUCUCUCUCUCUGUAUCAAAUUUGUAGGCUAGCAUGUCUCUGUGGUUUUUGUACAUUAAUACCACUUCAUGCCACUGUUGAGAAGGAAAUAAAUGUGAGCGGAAAUUCUACACCAAUCUGGUCACAGACACAUAACCUAAGAACUGCCAAGAACUCUGACCCAGAAAAACCAAGAAAGAAUGACUAAUUAGGGGCAGAAAAGAUUGUGUCCCAUGGCAUACAAGGGAAUAUUGCAUUUCUCCCCUCCCAACAUUUAUGCCUUUUUAAGGUAAUGGGUCCCUACCAAAAACACACACCAACUGUGAAGCAGCUUGAGUUAAGUUACAGAGGUUUAGAGGAGGAAGACCUAGGUGUUGAGUUACGGAUGUUCAAAGGAGAAGAGGGUGUUGAGUUAGGGAGGUUCAGAGGAGGAAGAAGGUGUUGAGUUAAGGAGGUUCAGAGGAGGAAGACCUAGGUGUUGAGUUACGGAUGUUCAAAGGAGAAGAGGGUGUUGAGUUAGGGAGGUUCAGAGGAGGAAGACCUAGGUGUUGAGUUACGGAUGUUCAAAGGAGAAGAGGGUGUUGAGUUAGGGAGGUUCAGAGGAGGAAGAAGGUGUUGAGUGAGGGAGGUUCGGAGGAGGAAGAAGGUGUUGAGUUAGGGAGGUUCAGAGGAGGAAGACCUAGGUGUUGAGUUACGGAUGUUCAAAGGAGAAGAGGGUGUUGAGUUAGGGAGGUUCAGAGGAGGAAGAAGGUGUUGAGUGAGGGAGGUUCGGAGGAGGAAGAAGGUGUUGACUUAGGGAGGUUCGGAGGAGAAAGAAGGUGUUGAGUUAAGGAGGUUCGGAGGAGGAAGAAGGUGUUGAGUUAAGGAGGUUCGGAGGAGGAAGAAGGUGUUGAGUUAGGGAGGUUUGGAGGAGGAAGAAGGGCUGAGUUGGAAGGGUGAGUUGUUUAGGUCAGUGGAUGAGUAAUAACUUUAUACUGCUGCACUCAUACAUCAUUUAUGGAUGACUGUUUGGAAUGGGUGUCUAUGUCCUUUAGGGCUGGUGUUAGAGUGCCAUUAACAGUGUGUUUCUGUGCCUGUGUGUCUGCUAAUAAAGAACUGGGUUUAAUUUCCUGACACUGUAUCCAGUUAGACCUCGAUG